Molecule: unclassified non-coding RNA, 19 nt
Filed under: Mus musculus (house mouse)
Lineage: Eukaryota; Metazoa; Chordata; Mammalia; Rodentia; Muridae
Description: oocyte_clustered_small_RNA1409
Source: RNAcentral
AAGAUGAGUAUUGGUGUUG